Molecule: ribosomal RNA, 433 nt
Filed under: uncultured bacterium
Lineage: Bacteria
Description: partial 16S ribosomal RNA
Rfam family: Bacterial small subunit ribosomal RNA
Source: RNAcentral
AACGAACGCUGGCGGCAUGCCUAACACAUGCAAGUCGAACGAGACCUUCGGGUCUAGUGGCGCACGGGUGCGUAACGCGUGGGAACCUGCCCUUAGGUUCGGAAUAACUCCCCGAAAGGGGUGCUAAUACCGGAUAAUGUCUUCGGACCAAAGAUUUAUCGCCUUUGGAUGGGCCCGCGUUGGAUUAGCUAGUUGGUAGGGUAAAAGCCUACCAAGGCGACGAUCCAUAGCUGGUCUGAGAGGAUGAUCAACCACACUGGGACUGAGACACGGCCCAGACUCCUACGGGAGGCAGCAGUGGGGAAUAUUGGACAAUGGGCGAAAGCCUGAUCCAGCAAUGCCGCGUGAGUGAUGAAGGCCUUAGGGUUGUAAAGCUCUUCUACCCGGGAUGAUAAUGACAGUACCGGGAGAAUAAGCGCCGGCUAACUCCGUG